Long non-coding RNA from Epinephelus moara (kelp grouper), 2328 nucleotides. RefSeq lists it as uncharacterized. Lineage: Eukaryota; Metazoa; Chordata; Actinopteri; Perciformes; Serranidae. The record is from RefSeq and is a predicted model, not a curated record. The transcript has 3 exons.
CGAGUCUCUUUACAUCCAGCUAUCUCUUUGGGGGCUAUUCACGGCUGCAUGGUCUCGUGAGGGGGAAGGAGGACAGGAAACAGACAGUGUUCCAGCUGCCAGCCUGCCUCCCUGCCAGCUGACCCUUAUAAGCUGCCUGAAACUGGAUAGUGUUCUGCUGGGUCUUUCCAGAUGUCCCUCCCUCUCCCCAGCAAAGCUUCCCAGCUCCCCCUGGGGGACCCCAAGGCGUCCGAGGCCAGACGAGAUAUGUAAUCCCUCCAGCGUGUUCUGGGUCUGCCCCAGGCCUCCUAUCAGUUGGAUGUGCCUGGAACACCUCUAACGGGAGCCCAGGAGACAUCCUGAUCAGAUGCUUGAACCACCUCAACUGACCCCUUUCAACAUGAAGGAGCAGCAGCUCUACUCCGAGCUCCCUCCGGAUGUCCAAGCUCCUCACCCUAUCUCUAAGACUGAGCCCAGCCACCCUUAGUGGCUGAAACUCAUAUCGGCUACUUGUAUCUGCAACCUCAUCCUUUUAGUCAUUACCGAUAGCUCAUGACCAUAGGUGAAGGUUGGGAUGUAGAUGGACCAGACUAAUAGCGGUACAGUUAACAUAAUGAGUUCCAUAGCAAUCCUGUUUUAAUGUGUCAUGGGUAGGCAAUGCAUUGUUCUUCAAAAAGACCGGUCAUUUACUGAAAGAGACAACUAUCCAACUUUAAUUUGAAGAAAUACAUUGAUUAUACAGAAUAAAACAUUUAGUAGGAACAAGCCCAUUCUGGUUUAAAAACAGAACACACAGGCCUGCAAUUAUUUUUGUGAGUGGCUAGUGGGGGUCAAUUAUAUCAGGGUAGCCGUGGCCACCCAUUGACAGCACCACUGCAAUUACAAACUGUAGCAGUAUUACAUGUAAAAGAAAAUAAAUUAGUAUUUGAGUGUGGUGGACUUAAAUUGACAGGAACUUAGCAAAAUUUAAUUUGUAUCCUUUGAAGCAUGUCUUCUGUUAUUUCCAGGGGCACAUACCCUUAAAGAGUAUGUUCACUUCUACAACAUAACUAUCACAACAGUAUGCCUAAAGAUAGUAGGGCUUUCACACUUAAUACUUUGUAGUAGUAGAUAAUUGAGUGGUGAUAAUGUGUGUUGGAAGUGUAGCAGUAUAGUGUUGCUUCCAUUUAGUGAUCUUUGUAAACAAAUAGUCUCUAAAUGUUUCAUGGUGCCUUCAGGGAAUUCUCUAGGAAGCUGAAAGACAAGUGAAAUAUUUAUGAAACACUGAAAUGGCACAAAUGGCCAAGUCUUAGGGCAAUGUCUUGUUAAUGAGUGUCUUGAAUAGCAAGAUUGUUUAUGAUAUAUGAGCUGGAUCGCUAUAUGAAAAAAUGGAGGGACACAGUGUAACAGACCAGUGUGGUGCAUAAAGAGAGUCAGUAAUUUUAUGAGCAACUCUCCUUCUCUGAUCUAACUCCUAAACUUUAAACACAACUGCCACCUAGUGAUGAAAAUGGACAAACACGCACAUUAAUUUUUUUAAAUGCUGGUGUCACUGAUGAGGUUUUGACAUGUCACAGUAGCAAAAGCCCAAGUUUUAAUCACAACAUUAAUGAUGGCUAUGACUUAAAGAUACUUUGUAGCCUACAAAGAAUUGUUACAAGGAAUCUUUCAAGUGUACAGCCGGAUAAACAAUCUUAGAACACACAUACAGGUAAACAACAAUCUUCCUGAUUUGCGUCAUUCACCUUUGGCUUUGCUUGUCUUGCAAUAAGUUAUUAACUUACAAUGUUGCUCUUUUAAUUGUUUUUACAACUUUUUAUUGACCAUGGUUUAGUCACUUGUUUAUUGGAAAACAAUCAGAAGUCCAUUACUGAAGUGACUUGUUUAAUGAAGUCACUGAGAAUUCAUCAUGAGGAAGAAUAUUUGGUCGCAUACAUUGCAAAGUGUGAUUUAAAGGCUGCAGAGAAAACACUCUCAUCUCUUUAACAGCUCUGGCAUACAUCUGAUCUGUUUUAUGUCUCUGCCUGAGAAACUGUUGUUUGAGACCCACACUUAACAAUGAGUUCCAUUAAAUUCACCAGAAGAAAACCAUUAUCUCUUAUUCUGCAACGGUGAUGGGAUAAGAUCUUUAAAGACAAAAGAUACACCGAGCCAGAGGACAAUGCUGCUGAUGAGCCACAGGGGAUGAAGAAUUGUUCUGCAACUUCCUCUUCUUUAUUUAAUAGAAAAGCAAUAAAGAAAUUGUCCACAAAGGAUGAGGUGAUAUGGAAAUAUGGAGGCACGGUUGUCAAAUACUGCAGAUAGAUAAUUUCUCUAUUUCAUUGCUACUCCUUAUGUAACAAUGUUCAUCUGUAUUGUCCCUGUGAAAUA